GUAUUUCUAGCUCAGCUGGUAGAGCAUGAGACUUAAUCUCAGGGUUGUGGGUUUGAGCCCCCUGUUGGGCA
Molecule: non-coding RNA, 71 nt
Organism: Podarcis lilfordi (Lilford's wall lizard)
Lineage: Eukaryota; Metazoa; Chordata; Lepidosauria; Squamata; Lacertidae
Source: the annotation of a GenBank genome assembly